Molecule: long non-coding RNA, 1212 nt
Organism: Gorilla gorilla gorilla (western lowland gorilla)
Lineage: Eukaryota; Metazoa; Chordata; Mammalia; Primates; Hominidae
Exons: 6
Source: RefSeq, a predicted model, not a curated record
AGGAACCAGCCAGAUACGUUGGAACCAGCCAAAUACGUUAGCACCAGCAGGAGCGAACUCCAUGCAGGCCCUGUGGCAGCAUCCAGGUGUGGGUGCCUGCAACUCCCGAAGCCCCAGAGGGAGUGUUACAGUGCUCUUCUAGCUCUGCCAUCCACCGACGGCUUAAGUGUUAACAGCUCAGUGGACCCUUUGUCUUUUUCACUGAGAUGGCUGCCCUCUGCCAGUGAGGGCAAAAGGCCAGUGCAACAGGUUUUUGUAUCUGCAUUCAUGGCCCCUGAGCUCUUGUCCAGCAUCCAGGAAAAAUGAGGUUGCACAAACAAAUUGAAGGAUGAAAGCCAAAAAGAAGAGAUAGGGAGGAAGUGACAUGGUGCCUUAUGAAAGUUUGGUUAUGAAAAACCUUCUAGAGAAUUAACUUUGAGUCAACAUUCCCUACUCCUGUUGUUUUGAGAAGAGCCUAUUCUCUUCUUGAAAAAUAUGACAAGAAAAUCACGAAUACGUUCCAGUGCAGAAUAUUACUGGGGUCAAAAAGGACUGAAAAAAUUGACUUUCUGCAAGAAUCUGCAAAGGGAAAAACAUAAUGCCUUCCCAGUGGAGAUAUUUUCAAUCUUUGAAGGAGAAUUGGAAAAGUCUAAAGAAAUGUGACCCUUGUGAGGCCAGAAAGGUAAGGGGAUUAAUCUGUUCAGUAGUAAAUGGAUGCCUUCUGAGAGCCAAGAAUUUUAGCCAAUGGGUUCAUUUUCCAGUUUUAAUGAUGAAAUACAGAUACAGUGAUUGAAGCCACCUUGUGACAUUUUGGGAGCCAACAUCAUUUUUCUUCUCAGAAAGAAAGAAAUACCUAUGCUACUGCUACUCUGCCCACUCCUGCCCCCCACCCUGGAUUCACCAACUUCUCACAGCUGCUAGAGGGUCUCAGGUUGCUGAAUUAAUACACCAAAAGUCACAGUUUGAAUCGAAAAUGAACUGCUCUAUUGAAUACAUCCAUCAUGGCUGAAAAUAUCUUUGGAGUUCACAAGUUACAAAAACACCCCUGUCUCAAACCAUUGUACUACACAUGAAUCAUCUUGUGUAAUCUUGUCGUUUUUGCUUGGAUAUUUUCUAACUCAAUUGGCAGAACAAGGAAAGACAGUGCAUUUGAAGAAUUGUAUACAUAGAACCAUACGAAAGCCCCAAAUGACAUAUGCAAUAGUGCUAUUCUAAAUAAAAGACCAAAGCUGA